UCACGCAGUGCCAGGCAUCUUUUGUCCAGUACCCGAGCUGCGUCAAAUCUUACGAUGUCUCCAUUCAAUAUUCUGGCGAUCGUCGUCAUUUCAGUUGCUAUUACCUCCAUUACGGACAGCACAGGAGUCAGGAACAGCCACACUGGUACCUGUCCUGCUGUUGGGAAGUAUUGCCUUACAGAGGGAAAUAAUGACUUAAAGUGCCCUCCAGGUUGCGAGUGCAUCGUCAUGGUGGGCGAAGGAAUCAACUCUAAACAAGGAAAUUGCUCUGAUCCUAGGACAAGGGGAUAAUCCUUUUAUGCGGACAUGAAAUAAAGCAUUCCAAUAU
Molecule: long non-coding RNA, 328 nt
Filed under: Dermacentor andersoni
Lineage: Eukaryota; Metazoa; Arthropoda; Arachnida; Ixodida; Ixodidae
Description: uncharacterized LOC126540748
Source: RNAcentral